UACGUAGGGGGCGAGCGUUGUCCGGAUUUAUUGGGCGUAAAGAGCUCGUAGGCGGUUCGAUAAGUCGGACGUGAAAUCUCCACGCUCAACGUGGAGGGGCCGUUCGAUACUGUCGUGACUCGAGUCCGGUAGGGGAGUGUGGAAUUCCCGGUGUAGCGGUGAAAUGCGCAGAGAUGUGGAGGAACACCGAUGGCGAAGGCAGCCUCCUGGGCCAGCACUGACGCUCAUGCACGAAAGCGUGGGGAGCAAACAGG
RNAcentral lists this ribosomal RNA (254 nucleotides) under uncultured bacterium. RNAcentral describes it as "partial 16S ribosomal RNA". It matches the Rfam family "Bacterial small subunit ribosomal RNA", at positions 524 to 776 of the family's 1533-position model. The record is from RNAcentral.